UUUGAGGUUUCAAGUGAGUGGCAGCGCGGGGCUCACAUGGGUUGUGGCAAACAAUGCUAUUCCAAAAGUAUGGAAGGCUGGAGUUGCUUAUGAGUCAGCAAUUCAGCUUGCAUAAAUUUGAGAUAUCCCAAGCUUUAUUAUGACUGGUUCCUGGUUAUCAGCUUCUUAAUGUCAUUUAGAUAUUCUAGUAUGUUGUUGCCCAGCAUCCGUGUCUCCUCAAAACUUAACUAGUUGCUAAAUAAAUAGUGGGAUUGUGUACUUUAAGAUCUUUUGAUCUAAGGAGAAAAUUAAUAAAAUUCAGCUCUCGUCAAAAUAAAACCGCUCAUACGCCUCGUUAGUGGUGUCUUUGUGGGUGUGUCUUAUUGAAUUUCUUGUGAUUGUUUAAAUAACUCCAUUAUAUUUCCUCUACUAACAGUAAUCAGUAAAAUUGAUGUAUUAUCAAACAAUAUACAUCGUCGAUAAUAUUUCUUAGUGAUUGCAACACGUUAAAAAAUAUAUUUCAAAUGUAAAAAUUGUAAAAUAAAUUGUCGAGCCAUUCCGUUUUAGAAUUGGAGAUUAGCCAAAUCUUUUGUCAAUUGUUUAUAAAAGUAUGAUAAAUAUCUACCAACUACUCUUUGUUUUGCACUUUAUAAAAAAUAUACUAAAACUUUUUUCUUUUGUGGCUAUCCACGUAAAGUUUACAAAAUUAUCACUUUUUUACUUUUUCAUUAACAUAAUUAAAGAUUUAAUAGAAUAUUAAUUAAACGACCACUAUAUCGUUAAAAUAUUAUUUAAUCCUAACUAGUAGCUAAAUGAUGAAAAAAAAUUCCAAUUUGUAGCUGUUGGAACCAAUAGCAGCUAUAAAUUUAGUUAGAUAAAUUCAUCAAACCUACUAAUUUAACAAUAUAAAAUCACCAAAAUAACCACCAUAACUAAUUUGUAAUUCAUUUGCAACAUAAAUUCAGAACCUCUGCUCAUAUAAUCCAUCCUAAAUAAUCUUUGACAACAAUAACAAGUCUUGGAAAGCAAUAAAUCACCAAUAAAAACAAUCAUAGUUAUCCAAAAUACAUUUUAAGGAAACAUAAAAGUAGUUAUAAAAAACUUUAAACAUUAUACCUUGCUUCCGUCGAUAAAAAAAGAACAAUGUAAAACCAAUUAUGAUGAAUAUAGAGUUUACAAUUUGUUUCCAUCAAUUCAAAAUUAAACAUAUUCUAAAAUUAUGUAAAACAACAAUUAAUAAAUAAUCUAUUUACAUUUAGGGAUAAAAUAGUUUUUUUAUCAAUAUCCUAUUAAAUCAUCUAAUGCUAUUAAUGGAAAAGUAGAAAAAUAAUAAAAAACUGCAAAAGAAAAGUUUUUGGCGUAUUUCUAAUAAAGCUUAGAAUAUAUUUACCAAUAAAACUACAUAUAAUAAAUUCUUCAACUAACGUACUACAUUAAUUUCAUCUUCAGCUCUUCCGGUAAGCACUGGCUAACGAAUGAUUUUAGGUACACCAUAAAAGGAAUCCAUUUCUCCUCUUUCGGAAGUGUUGUAGUCUUACAGGCAACGACCAGGACAGAACACCCCUUGGAAGCAUCAGAAUACUUACACAUAUUAAAGCAGCGACCUUUAACAGAAUUUGACAUUUGGCAUUGGAAGGGAAGAAUGCAUCAAACGAGGGCUGCAUUGACUGUGUAAAGUUCUCCAGAAUCAGAGCAACUGUGGGUAAAGGACCGUUAACUUGCACAAGUUAUCAGCUGUUUUUUUCAUUUUGACGCAGUUACUGGUUCGAGUCGUACAUGGGAGUAACAGUUUAUAUGCAUCCAUUAAAAAUCAGAUUAAUGGAACAAGUGAUAUGACUAACAGCAGGGCACUUAAAUUUAAAUGUAUUGUCCAACAAACAAAAUACAGCAUAAUGCAAUUUCACGGACGUACAUACAGACAGACACAUACAUCCUCAUAUUUGUGAGCAUAGGUGAGCCAGAAAGAUACUAGGACUUGGAACAAGUGAUAUAACUAACAGGGCACUUGAAUGUACCUUUCAGAUGAAAAUCAAAACUACUACUGUUAACCUCCCUCAGUACAACCGACCAGUGCAUUCUGAAGAACCACAAAAGCAACUCUUUUUCUUAAUGUUGCCAGAUGAAUCAUAAACUUGAUCUAUCACGUAAUUGUAAUGAUAAGUCAGCUCUUGCAGGGGAGGAAUGUUCUCAGCAGCAAAGAGCAUUAUGUGAGGCGUUCUCUUGUCCUCAUGAUCAUAAAGGACGUUUUGGGCAUAAAGAUUAGGCGAACAACUGUGGUUAACAAAUCUCCCCACAUUGCCAUACUCCACUGCAUCAAUGGUAAAUCCACCAUCCUCCACAACUCCACAAGAACUCAAUGGUGCAUCAGGCAUAACAUUCGAAAGUCCACCCCAAAGAGAACCAUCAUUAUAAUUAUUCCCAAUAUCAAAUAGAUACUCAUCAUUACUGGUUCUUCUUUCCGCUUCCUUCUCUUCAAGGAGCUCCCCCGCGUACUCACAGAUAAAACUUCCCGAAGGAAUGGAAUUUAGGGAUCUCACACCCCAUCCCCGUGCUUCAGUUUUGAAGAUCUCCAUCUGAAAUUUGAUACCCUGCUGGCUGACUCUAUUAUAGCAAGAAGCUUCAUUACUCUUUUUCAUUGUUUCACUGGCUUGCAUACAAAUACAACAUUAUGCAGGCUAAUUAGAUAAAAGGGAAUGGCUAGGGCCGACAGACGGAUGACGAGGAGCAUAGCUCACCUACCUCAUCUUCCAAAAAAUAGUAAUUUUCCAUUUAUUAAUUGUUCUACAAGCCUCCUCUCUCGUGCAAUAAGUACGUAUGAUUAAUGAGUGCUUCCGUCCCUAAUUGUUAUAGCUAAAUACGUUUGUCUGGCUUGACCCGUUUACUAGUGCGUUACAACCAAAAGACUGAUGGUGAUCGAGUGGGUUAAUCCAGUUGUUGUGAGCCUAUAGCAUUUGCUUUUGACUCGACAAAGCAAUUUAAAAAAACGCCAUUUUGGAUACCGGUACGUCACGUACUAAAUCCAAUUGCUUGGUGCGGUCUCCCUAUUAGCCUUCGGUUCUUGACUCAAUAAGUAAUUUCCAGCUAGUUUCAAUAGGUUUUAAUUCCACCAUUUACUUACCAUAAUGAUCGAGAAUAGGGAUGGCAAUGGGGUGAGGUGGAUGUGGAGAGGCUUAUCUUAUUCCUCAUUCUAUUAAAAAUGUCACCUCUAUUUUUCACCUCAUUCUCCAUUAAAUUUAGAGGAACGGGGACAAAAAAUCUUUAUAUGGGGAAUAAUUUCCUCAUUCCUAUCUCAUUACCCGUUUAUUUAUUUCAUAAUAAGUAUGGAUACGUGGUUUUAGUACAUUAAAAAUUAGAGACUUAAAUAAAAUUAUUAUCAUAUUAUAAAGUAUUUAAAUUAUUUUAAAAAAUUUCCAAAAUUUUGAAACAAUAUCAAAACUGAUAUCAAAACUGAAAAAUGUUUGGAGAGAGCAUCACUUAAUAAUGUUUUAGAGUUGAAUAAUAAUUAUAUUGUAAGGUUUUCUUUUAAUUAUAACCUGUUUAUAUUAGGUAAAAAUUAACAAGAAAAUUUGUUAACCGACAUUGUAUUUGAUAAAACAAAAAAUAUUAAAUAAAAAUUAAAAAAUAUUUAUAUUUAAAUGGAGAGUGAGGUGGUGGUGGGGUGGAGAAUACAAAACCAAAUCCCAUCCCAUUAAGAGUUUGAGGAUUAUUUAUCCCUCGUUUCCUACUCUAUUCCCUAAAAAUUAUUUAAACCCCAUGAGAACCAAACCCGUGUAAGAUUUUGCCAUCUCUAAUCGCGAAAUCUUGAGUUUUUCCUUGCACCCAAGUCACAAGGUGUGCGCUAUAAGAUCUUUUGGCAUAAUUCAACUGGUUGUAGAUAUUUUCACCCAAAUUCGAAUAGCAAUAAAGAAUAAUGAUUGUUAUUUAGUGGUUUAAGUUUUUCAUCUCCAUUCAAUUUUUAAAAUAAAUAAAUAAAUAGUUUAUGCUAUUAGAACGUCUAAACGAAGCAAACCCAGACCAGUAAUUAACAAUUACAAAACAAUUACUUGGUUGAUAAUAAUGGCAUGGGAGGUGAUUUUAUGAUUUUACUGCUAUUUCCUCUACUAACAGUAAUCAGUAAAAUUGAUGUAUUAUCAAACAAUAUAAAUCGUCGAUAAUAUUUCUUGGUGAUUGCAACAUGUUAAAAAAUAUUUUUCAAACUGCUGUACGGCCAAGGCGGAUGUACGGUACAGCAGUUAUGAUAAUGAGUCCAAUUCAAUUCAAAUAAGGGUCUUGAGGGGUCGAUAAUGGGGUCUACAUUUACGCAUCAUCAAUCUAAUCUAACUCUCUAGUCCCAAGACGAAGAAAAGAGGUGGCAAUUUCCCCUUAGCUGCAGCCCUCAAGGCUUCUACUAUAAAUAUGGCCAUUAACAUUUGUUAGCAACCCAUCUCAGAAGCAUCCUCCUUCGUACUGCUAGCAAAGAUUUUGAUAUUUUGCAAAUGGGGUUAUGUCAAUACUACCUUCUUUCCGUCGUGCUGCUUUUGCCUGCAUUGUGUUACUCUCAGUUCACAUUCACAAGUUCUAGAGCUUCAUUCUAUGGUAGCCCUGACGGCUUGGGGACACCAGGUAUGUAAAAAUCUCACCUUUAUAAAGCUAUGUACAUUAAACUCGUGCACAAGUUGACGCGAACGAAUCGUUCAUUUCAUUAUGCUUUAGAGAAUUUUUGUUUUGGUAUUUGUUUAUCUUUUAGAUUAACUAAUGUUCAUGUCGAUGAUUCAUCAGCUGGUGCUUGCGGGUUUGGUGCAUAUGGAAAAACUGUAAAUGAUGCUAACGUGGCCGGUGUGUCGAACCUUUGGAAUAAUGGAACUGCUUGUGGAACUUGCUAUCAGGUACUGAUUAUUAACUUUCAACCCACUCAAUCAUUGCAGUUUAUUGUAAAGCUAUAUAAUAAAUGUGUAAAAUGAACGAAUUGCUAAGACGGGUAAGCCUAUGCAUGCGUGAAAGGAACUUGAAAACUUUAUUUAUUUAAAUUGUAUUGUUUAUAUAUAUAUGUAAGUAGUUGCAUGCAUAUUCUUCGUAAGACUGCUUAAAUCAUUUCAAAUUCAACAUCGUCAACAAUUUUAUUACCACUAGUAAUUCUUUAGGUUUUGUACCAUCAAUUAAUAAUGAUUAGUUAAUUAAUUAACUUCAGGUCAGAUGCAAUGUACCAGAAGUUUGCACAGAUUAUGGGGUGUACGUGGUGGUGACCGACUAUGGUGAAGGAGACGACACAGACUUCGUCCUCAGCCCACGCGCGUAUGGAAGAAUGGCACUUACAGAUAAGUCAGAAGAGCUUUAUACUUUUGGUGUCGUCGACGUUGAAUUCCUGAGAGUCCCUUGCCGGUUCAGAGGCUACAACGUCAUGUUCAAGGUCCAUGAAAACAGCAAGUACCCACAGUACUUGGCCGUAGCCACGCUGUACGUAGGUGGCCAAAAUGACGUCCUAGCAGUUGAAAUGUGGCAGGUAAUUACUUACAAAUUAACUUCUAAACAAUUGAUUUUUGGCCCGUCCAUCGCAUGUAAUGCUUUUGUUGGUGCAGGAGGAUUGUAAAGAAUGGAUGCCGAUGAAAAGGGCUUUCGGUGCAGUAUUUGACAUCUUUUAUCCACCACCAGGACCAAUGAAUUUGAGGUUUCAAGUGAGUGGCAGCGCGGGGCUCACAUGGGUUGUGGCAAACAAUGCUAUUCCCAAAGUAUGGAAGGUUGGAGUUGCUUAUGAGUCAGCAAUUCAGCUUGCAUAAAUUUGAGAUAUCCCAAGCUUUAUUAUUACUGGUUCCGGGUUAUCAGCUUCUUAAUGUCAUUUAGAUAUUCUAGUAUGUUGUUGCCCGGCAUCAGUAAGUGCUGUUACUUUAUCUUCUUUUUUUUAGUUUGUUGCUCAGGGUGUAUUGUGGACUCCUGUCUCCUCAACACUUAACUAGUUGCUAAAUAAAUAGUGGGAUUGUGUACUUUAAGAUCUUUUGAUCUAAGGAGAAAAUUAAUAAAAUUCCGCUCUGGUUAAGAUAAAACCGCUCAUCCGCCUCGUUAGUGGCGUCUCUGUGUGUGUGUGUGUCCUGUUGAAUUUCUUGUGAUUGUUUAAAUAACUCCAUUAUAUUUCCUCUACUAACAGUAAUCAGUAAAAUUGAUGUAUUAUCAAACAAUAUAAAUCGUCGAUAAUAUUUCUUGGUGAUUGCAACAUGUUAAAAAAUAUUUUUCAAAUGUAAAAAUUGUAAAAUAAAUUGUCGAGCCAUUCCAUUUUAGAAUUGGAGAUUAGCCAAAUCUUUUGUCAAUUGUUUAUAAAAGUAUUGUUUAUAAAAGUAUGAUAAAUAUCUACCAACUACUCUUUGUUUUGCACUUUAUAAAAAAUAUACUAAAACUUUUUUUUUUUUGUGGCUAUCCACGUAAAGUUUACAAAAUUAUCACUUUUUUACUUUUUCAUUAACAUAAUUAAAGAUUUAAUAGAAUAUUAAUAAAACGACCACUACAUCGUUAAAAUAUUAUUUAAUCCUAACUCAUAGCUAAAUGAUGAAAAAAAUUCCAAUUUGUAGCUGUUGGAACCAAUAGCAGCUAUAAAUUUAGUUAGAUAAAUUCAUCAAACCUACUAAUUUAACAAUAUAAAAUCACCAAAAUGACCACCAUGACUAAUUUGUAAUUCACUCACAACAAUAUUUUUUUUCGGUGUAUUAAAUCAUCUGGUAUUUGAAGACCACAUUAGGCCCCGACUGAUCCAGCUUCGAGCCGGGUAGGACCACUAGGGCGGCAAAGCUCUCCCAACAAGUAUUUAACGCAGUUGCAUUCCCAAGUCUCGAACCGAGGACCUUGAUUAAGCUAGAACAACCCCAUGCCAGUUGAUCUACGCACUUGUUGGUAAUAAAGCGUAGAAUAUGUUCACCCAUAAAACUACAUAUAAUAAAUGCUUCAACUAACGUACUACAUUAAUUUCAUCUUCAGCUCUUCCGGUAAGCACUGGCUAACGAAUGAUAUUAGGUACACCAUAAAAGGAAUCCAUUUCUCCUAUUUCGGAAGUGUUGUAGUCUUACUGGCAACGACCAGGACAGAACACCCCUUGGAAGCAUCAGAAUACGUUGUGUGUUUUUAAUUUAAUUGCAUUGUGUGUUUUUCAUGUUGGAUUUUGGAAUUGAAUUGUGUGUGGGGUUGAAAUAGUUGUGGAAUUGGUUGAAAUUGUUGUGGAAAGUGGAAUUGAAUUGUGUUUGAAAUGGUUGAGUAAUUUCCGAAUUGGUUGAAAUGGUGGUGGGAAAUGGGAAUUGAAUUGUGGGGUUAACUAUUUCGGUAUGGUCGGGUUGGGCCCGACCUGAUGUUGGCCCGAUUCGGGUCGAGCCUAACUAAAUAGUGUUCGGACUUUUUUAGGGUCGGGUUUCAAAUUUCUUUUGAUCGGGUCGGGUAGGGCUUGGCCGAGCCCGAGCCCGACCCGACAGGAGAAAGUAAAGCGUCCAUAUAUCCCACGCGCAUGUCAUUCAAUUAACUAAUUAUAUCAUCACAUCCCAUCAUCAUUAUCCUAUUAAAUGGAAUGUUCCAAGAAAGUAUUUGUAAGAGUUUUUUUUUUAAGUUUAAUCGUUCGAAAUGAUUAAAAGGUAGAUAAAUAUUGGCGAAUGUUGAGGUAUAUACUUAAAAGUAUCGAAAGAUAUUGAUGAGCUACCAACAUUUGUAUUUUUAUAUUUCCAACGUAUUUUGGUCAACUUUGCAAGCAUCUAAUAGAAAAUCUAUGUAAAAUUUAAAUUAAAAAAUUGAAAAUUACUUAUACAAUUUUGAUCUUACAAAUUUAUAAAAGUUAAAUAAAUAGGUUAGCAACUAUGGGUAUUAAGACAACUUUUGAUAUUACAGCAUGCUUGAAGAAAAUCUUUGAUGUUCUCCUAGCAUUGCACCUUAUCCAUUCAUUACUUACUAUAUAAUUAAUAAAAAUUGAAGUUUUUACAAAAAUUAGAGUUUCCCACAAUUAAUUGAAAGGAUUGUGUAGUAAACAAAGGAUUGUGUAGUAAAGAAAUCAAUGUGGCUUGGGACGAAUUAUUAUUCGAGCAUACAAUUAUGGAAGUCAGUUCCAAUCUUUUAGUGGAGUAGAUUUGGAAUUAAAUAAUUGGGCUAGUUUAAUUACAGGCCUAAUUAUUGUAGCCACUAUUGUAUGUUCCCAAAUGAUCCCCGGGUUAGCUCAUUUAAUUGACUGCACCACUACUGGACUAAUAAGUAAGAUAACUAGCUAUUUGGGUCAAAAGCCUAAAUAUAUCAUUUAGUGGGAGGCUCCAUUUAAUUAGCUUUUGUAUAAGGGGUCUUAUGUUAUUUUACAAGGUGGGUCCCCUAUUGAAAAAGAAAAUAACGUGAGUUUUAUUUAGAGCAUUAUUUGGAGCCUAGGGUUUUCACUAAAUGGAGAUAUAUAAGGCUUAUUUUUCCCAAAAGAAAAAAUGAGAAGCCACUUUAUACAAAUCGGAGAAUAAGAUUUUUCUCUCUAUUGUUGAGAGAAAAAUUUUCUCGUGCUAGUUGCUUUGGUAGUGAUAAAGGCGCCCACACGUCAAGUGCAGAUCGAACCUGAGUCAUAACCUGGAAGAUCAUUGGUGACAGUUCAUGAUCUAACAAGCGUGGUGGUGACGGUUCGUGAUCUAACAAGCGUGGUGGUGACGGAUCGUGAUCUAACAAGAGUGGUGGUGGCGGAUCGUGAUCUAGGAGCCUAAAUCACUUCAGCGGAAAAAGCAAACUCAGAUUUACAAGGUACGAUUUCUAGAAUACGAAUUCUUAUAUAUUAUAUGAGAGCGAUCUUCAAAAGAUUUUAUAAAAAGAGAUUUUUUUAAUAGAGAAUUAGUCUUUGACAAAAAACAUGAGAUUUUUUUAAUAGAGAAUUAGUCUUUGACAAAAAACAUGAGAUUUUUUUAAUAGAGAAUUAGUCUUUGACAAAAAACAUGAGAUUUUUUUAAUAGAGAAUUAGUCUUUGACAAAAAACAUGAGAUUUUUUUAAUAGAGAAUUAGUCUUUGACAAAAAACAUGAGAUUUUUUUAAUAGAGAAUUAGUCUUUGACAAAAAACAUGAGAUUUUUUUAAUAGAGAAUUAGUCUUUGACAAAAAACAUGAGAUUUUUUUAAUAGAGAAUUAGUCUUUGACAAAAAACAUGAGAUUUUUUUAAUAGAGAAUUAGUCUUUGACAAAAAACAAUACCUUAAGUGAAAGGAAUUUAGAUCUAUUGCAAAUAGAUGUAGGCAAUCAGAAACCUAAAAUUAGAACCUUAAUUAAUUUUUGAAAAUACCGUUCACGGUUAUUGUUCAUGCGCAUAAAAAUAUUACUGCUGUACGGCCAAGGCGGAUGUACGGUACAGCAGACGAUGUGGUACAAAGGAUUGUGCAGUAAAGAAAUUAAUGUGGCUUGGGACGAAUUGUUAUUCGAGCAUACAAUUAUGGAAGUCAGUUCCAAUCUUUUAGUGGAGUAGAUUUGGAAUUAAAUAAUUGGGCUAGUUUAAUUACAGGCCUAAUUAUUGUAGCCACUAUUGUAUGUUCCCAAAUGAUCCCCGGGUUAGCUCAUUUAAUUGACUGCACCACUACUGGACUAAUAAGUAAGAUAACUAGCUAUUUGGGUCAAAAGCCUAAAUAUAUCAUUUAGUGGGAGGCUCCAUUUAAUUAGCUUUUGUAUAAGGGGUCUUAUGUUAUUUUACAAGGUGGGUCCCCUAUUGAAAAAGAAAAUAACGUGAGUUUUAUUUAGAGCAUUAUUUGGAGCCUAGGGUUUUCACUAAAUGGAGAUAUAUAAGGCUUAUUUUUCCCAAAAGAAAAAAUGAGAAGCCACUUUAUACAAAUCGGAGAAUAAGAUUUUUCUCUCUAUUGUUGAGAGAGAAAUUUUAUCGUGCUAGUUGCUUUGGUAGUGAUAAAGGCGCCCACACGUCAAGUGCAGAUCGAACCUGAGUCAUAACCUGGAAGAUCAUUGGUGACAGUUCGUGAUCUAGCAAGCGUGGUGGUGACGGAUCGAGAUCUAACAGGAGGUGUGGUGGCGGAUCGUGAUCUAGGAGCCUAAAUCACUUCAACGGAAAAAGUCCAAUCGGAUUUUCAAGGUACGAUUUCUAGAAUACAAAUUCUUAUAUAUUAUAUGAGAGCGAUCUUUAAAAGGUUUUAUAAAAAUAUAAAAACCGGAUUUUUCCCCAACAUUAAGUUCUCCAGAAUCAGAGCAACUGUGGGUAAAGGACCGUCAACUUGCACAAGUUAUCGGCUGUUUUGUACAUUUUGACGCAGUUACUGGUUCGAGUCGUACAUGGGAGUAACAGUUUAAUUAUAUGCAUCCAUCAAAAAUCAGAUUAAUGGAACAAGUGAUAUGACUAACAGCAGGGCACUUAAAUUUAAAUGUAUUGUCCAACAAACAAAUACAACAUAAUGCAAUUUCACGGACGUACAUACACACAGGCAGACACAUACAUCCUCAUAUUUGUGAGCAUAGGUGUGCCAGAAAGAUGCUAGGACUUGGAACAAGUGAUAUAACUAACAGGGCACUUGAAUGUACCUUUCAGAUGAAAAUCAAAACUACUACUGUUAACCUCCCUCAGUACAACCGACCAGUGCAUUCUGAAGAACCACAAAAGCAACUCUUUUUCUUAAUGUUGCCAGAUGAAUCAUAAACUUGAUCUAUCACGUAAUUGUAAUGAUAAGUCAGCUCUUGCAGGGGAGGAAUGUUCUCAGCAGCAAAGAGCAUUAUGUGAGGCGUUCUCUUGUCCUCAUGAUCAUAAAGGACGUUUUGGGCAUAAAGAUUAGGCGAACAACUGUGGUUAACAAAUCUCCCCACAUUGCCAUACUCCACUGCAUCAAUGGUAAAUCCACCAUCCUCCACAACUCCACAAGAACUCAAUGGUGCAUCAGGCAUAACAUUCGAAAGUCCACCCCAAAGAGAACCAUCAUUAUAAUUAUUCCCAAUAUCAAAUAGAUACUCAUCAUUACUGGUUCUUCUUUCCGCUUCCUUCUCUUCAAGGAGCUCCCCCGCGUACUCACAGAUAAAACUUCCCGAAGGAAUGGAAUUUAGGGAUCUCACACCCCAUCCCUGUGCUUCAGUUUUGAUGAUCUCAAGCUGAACUUUGAUACCCUGCUGGCUGACUCUAUUAUAGCAAGAAGCUUCAUUACUCUUUUUCAUUGUUUCACUGGCUUGCAUAAAAAUACAACAUUAUGCAGGCUAAUUAGUUAAAAGGGAAUGGAUAGCUCACCUACCCCAUCUUCCAAUAAAUAGUAAUUUUCCAUUUAUUAAUUGUUCUACAAGCCUCCUCUCUCGUGCAAUAAGUACGCAUGGUUUUUUUUUUUUUUUUUUCCAUACGUCGCACCAAACGUGUCAAAAACCACAAAGUUUAAAAUUGAUUUUGUGUUUUGCAGUGCAACAACUGCUAACUCAAUUAUGAUUAAUGAGUGCUUCCGUCCCUAAUUGUUAUAGCUAAAUACGUUUGCCUGGCUUGACCCGUUUACUAGUGCGUUACAACCAAAAGACUGAUGGUGAUCGAGUGGGUUAAUCCAGUUGUUGUGAGCGUAUAGCAUUUGCUUUUGACUCGACAAAGCAAUUUAAAAAAACGCCAUUUUGGAUACCCGUACGUCACGUACUAAAUCCAAUUGCUUGGUGUGGUCUCCCUAUUAGCCUUCGGUUCUUGACCAAUAAGUAAUUUCCAGCUAGUUUCCAUAGGUUUUAAUUCCACCAUUUACUUAGCAUAAUGAUCGAGAAUAGGGAUGGCAAUGGGGUGAGGUGGACGUGGAGAGGCUUAUCCUAUUCCCCAUUCUAUUAAAAAUGUUGCCUCUAUUAUUCAACUCAUUCUCCAUUAAAUUUAGAGGGACGGGGACAAAAAAUCCCGAUAUGGAGAAUAAUUUCCUCAUUCCUAUCUCAUUCUCCAUUUAUUUAUUUCAUAAUAAGCAUGGAUAUGUGGUUUUAUUACAUUAAAAAUUAGAGACUUAAAUAAAAUCAUUAUCAUAUUAUAAAGUAUUUAAAUUAUUUUAAAAAAUCUCCAAAAUUUUGAAACAAUAUCUUCAAUUGAUAUCAAAACUGAAAAAUAUUUGGAGAGAGCACCACUUAAUAAAGAAAAGAAAACAUAAUAAUAUUUUAGAGUUGAAUAAGAAUUAUAUUAUAAGGUUUUCUUUUAAUUAUAAGUUGUUUAUAUUAGGUAAAAAUUAACAAGAAAAUUUGUUAACCGACAUUGUAUUUGAUAAAACAAAAAAUAGUAAAUAAAAAUUAAAAAAUAUUUAUAUAUAAUGGAGAGUGAGGUGGUGGUGGGGUGGAGAAUACAAAAUCAAAUCACAUCCCAUUAAGAGUUUGAGGAUUAUUUUUCCCUCAUUCCCUACUCUAUUCCCUAAAAAUUAUUUGAACACCAUGAGAACCCAAACCCUUGUAAGAUUUUGCCAUCUCUAAUUGCGAAAUCUUGAGUUUUCUCUUGCACGCAAGUCACAAGGUGUGUGCUAUUAGAUCUUUUGGCAUAAUUCAGCUGGUUGUAGAUAUUUUCACCCAAAUUCAAAUAGCAAUAAAGAACAAUGAUUGGUGUUUAGUGGUUUAAGUUUUUCAUCUCCAUUCAAUUUUUAAAAUAAAUAAAAAGAUAAAUAAUUUAUGCUAUUAGAACGUCUAAACGAAGCAAAACCAAACCAGUAAUUAACAAUUACAAAACAAUUACUUGGUUUAUAAUAAUGGCAUGGGAGGUGAUUUUAUGAUUUUAUUGGUUGCUUUACAACGGUUGAGACUCACUCUCAGCUACCGUCACUGACUCGUGUAGCACUACUUCAAAAGUCUCUGGGUGGCAAACGAAGUAUCCAAAAUAUGAAGGAGAGACAAGUGUUAGGCGUAAAGUGAAAAACCUUUAUAUGGAAUUUGUAACUUUCUGCUAAUAAUUAUGAUAAUGAGUCGAAUUCAUUUCAAGUAAGGGUCUUGAGGGGUCAAUAAUGGGGUCUACAUUUACGCAUCAUCAAUCUAAUCUAACUCUCUAGUCCCAAGAGGAAGAAUAGAGGUGGCAAUUUCCCCUUAGCAGCAGCCCUCAAGGCCUCUACUAUAAAUAUGGCCAUUAACAUUUGUUAGCAACCCAUCUCAUAAGCUUCCUCCUUCGUACUGCUAACAAAGAUUUUGAUAUUUUGCAAAUGGGGUUAUGUCAAUACUACCUUCUUUCCGUCGUGAUGCUUUUGCCUGCAUUGUGUUACUCUCAGUACUCAUUCACAAAUUCUAGAGCUACAUACUAUGGUAGCCCUGACGGUUUGGGGACACCAAGUAUGUAAAAAUCUCACCUUUAUAAAGCUAUGUACAUUAAACUCGUGCACAAGUUUACGCGAACUAAUAGUUCAUUUCAUUAUGCUUUAGAGAAGUUUUGUUUUGGUAUUUGUUUAUCUUUUAGAUUAACUAAUGUUCAUGUUGAUGAUUCAUCAGCUGGUGCUUGCGGGUUUGGUGCAUAUGGAAAAACUGUAAAUGAUGGUAACGUGGCCGGUGUGUCGAGCCUUUGGAAUAAUGGAACUGCUUGUGGAGCUUGCUAUCAGGUAAUGAUUAUUAACUUUCAACCCACUCAAUCAUUGCAGUUUAUUGUAAAGCUAUAUAAUAAAUGUGUAAAAUGAACGAAUUGCUAAGACGGGUAAGCCUAUGCAUGCGUGAAAGGAACUUGAAAACUUUAUUUAUUUAAAUUGUAUUGUUUAUAUAUAUAUAUAUAAAGGUAGUUGCAUGCAUAUUCUUCAUAAGACUGCUUAAAUCAUUUCAAAUUCAAUAUCGUCAACAAUUUUGUUACCACUAGUAAUUCUUUUGGUUUUGUACCACCAAUUAAUAAUGAUUAGUUAAUUAAUUAACUUCAGGUCAGAUGCAAUGUACCAGAAGUUUGCACAGAUUAUGGGGUGUACGUGCUGGCGACUGACUAUGGUGAAGAAGACGACACAGAAUUCAUCCUCAGCCCACGCGCAUAUGGAAGAAUGGCACUUACAGAUAAGUCAGAAGAGCUUUAUACUUUUGGUGUCGUCGAUGUUGAAUUCCUGAGAGUCCCUUGCCGGUUCAGAGGCUACAACGUCAUGUUCAAGGUCCAUGAAAACAGCAAGUACCCACAGUACUUGGCCGUAUCCAUGCUGUACGUAGGUGGCCAAAAUGACGUCCUAGCAGUUGAAAUAUGGCAGGUAAUUACUUACAAAUUAACUUCUAAACAAUUGAUUUUUGGCCCGUCCAUCGCAUGUAAUGCUUUUGUUGGUGCAGGAGGAUUGUAAAGAAUGGGUGGCGAUGAGAAGGGCUUUCGGUGCAGUAUUUGACAUCUUCAAUCCACCACCAGGAGCAAUUAAUUUGAGGAUGCAAGUGAGUGGCAGCGCAGGGCUCAGAUGGGUUGUGGCAAACAAUGUUAUUCCCAAAGUAUGGAAAGCUGGAGUUGCUUAUGGGUCAGCAAUUCAGCUUGCAUAAAUUUGAGAUAUCCCAAGCUUUAUUAUUACUGGUUCCGGGUUAUCAGCUUCUUAAUGUCGUUUAGAUAUUCUAGUAUGUUGUUGCC
Molecule: long non-coding RNA, 14399 nt
Filed under: Citrus sinensis (sweet orange)
Lineage: Eukaryota; Viridiplantae; Streptophyta; Magnoliopsida; Sapindales; Rutaceae
Description: long non-coding RNA (CSIN_LNC001934)
Source: RNAcentral